This 465-nucleotide ribosomal RNA is filed under the name Vreelandella stevensii. RNAcentral's name for it is "partial 16S ribosomal RNA". It matches the Rfam family "Bacterial small subunit ribosomal RNA", at positions 338 to 795 of the family's 1533-position model. Lineage: Bacteria; Pseudomonadati; Pseudomonadota; Gammaproteobacteria; Oceanospirillales; Halomonadaceae. The record is from RNAcentral.
CCUACGGGUGGCAGUAGUGGGGAAUAUUGGACAAUGGGCGAAAGCCUGAUCCAGCCAUGCCGCGUGUGUGAAGAAGGCCUUCGGGUUGUAAAGCACUUUCAGUGGGGAAGAAAGCCUUGGGGCUAAUACCCUCGAGGAAGGACAUCACCCACAGAAGAAGCACCGGCUAACUCCGUGCCAGCAGCCGCGGUAAUACGGAGGGUGCGAGCGUUAAUCGGAAUUACUGGGCGUAAAGCGCGCGUAGGCGGUCUGAUAAGCCGGUUGUGAAAGCCCCGGGCUCAACCUGGGAACGGCAUCCGGAACUGUCAGGCUAGAGUGCAGGAGAGGAAGGUAGAAUUCCCGGUGUAGCGGUGAAAUGCGUAGAGAUCGGGAGGAAUACCAGUGGCGAAGGCGGCCUUCUGGACUGACACUGACGCUGAGGUGCGAAAGCGUGGGUAGCAAACAGGAUUAGAUACCCCUGUAGUC